GGUCUUAGCUUGCUAAGGCUGAUGGCGACCGGCGCACGGGUGAGUAACACGUAUCCAACCUGCCGUCUACUCUUGGCCAGCCUUCUGAAAGGAAGAUUAAUCCAGGAUGGCAUCAUGAGUUCACAUGUCCGCAUGAUUAAAGGUAUUUUCCGGUAGACGAUGGGGAUGCGUUCCAUUAGAUAGUAGGCGGGGUAACGGCCCACCUAGUCAACGAUGGAUAGGGGUUCUGAGAGGAAGGUCCCCCACAUUGGAACUGAGACACGGUCCAAACUCCUACGGGAGGCAGCAGUGAGGAAUAUUGGUCAAUGGGCGAUGGCCUGAACCAGCCAAGUAGCGUGAAGGAUGACUGCCCUAUGGGUUGUAAACUUCUUUUAUAAAGGAAUAAAGUCGGGUAUGCAUACCCGUUUGCAUGUACUUUAUGAAUAAGGAUCGGCUAACUCCGUGCCAGCAGCCGCGGUAAUACGGAGGAUCCGAGCGUUAUCCGGAUUUAUUGGGUUUAAAGGGAGCGUAGAUGGAUGUUUAAGUCAGUUGUGAAAGUUUGCGGCUCAACCGUAAAAUUGCAGUUGAUACUGGAUGUCUUGAGUGCAGUUGAGGCAGGCGGAAUUCGUGGUGUAGCGGUGAAAUGCUUAGAUAUCACGAAGAACUCCGAUUGCGAAGGCAGCCUGCUAAGCUGCA
RNAcentral lists this ribosomal RNA (675 nucleotides) under uncultured Bacteroidales bacterium. RNAcentral describes it as "bacterial SSU rRNA". It matches the Rfam family "Bacterial small subunit ribosomal RNA", at positions 68 to 738 of the family's 1533-position model. Lineage: Bacteria; Pseudomonadati; Bacteroidota; Bacteroidia; Bacteroidales. The record is from RNAcentral.